AGAACUCAGGUAAAACUCAGGUUUUACGACUUAUUACGUAAUCGAAUAGGUUUUCAAAAUAUUCGUUAUCAUUCUGCCCCCCGCCGGGAGGUAGCAAAUA
Molecule: long non-coding RNA, 100 nt
Organism: Myotis davidii
Lineage: Eukaryota; Metazoa; Chordata; Mammalia; Chiroptera; Vespertilionidae
Exons: 3
Source: RefSeq, a predicted model, not a curated record